Molecule: ribosomal RNA, 1132 nt
Filed under: Bacillus licheniformis
Lineage: Bacteria; Bacillati; Bacillota; Bacilli; Caryophanales; Bacillaceae
Description: bacterial SSU rRNA
Rfam family: Bacterial small subunit ribosomal RNA
Source: RNAcentral
UGCUAUACAUGCAGUCGAGCGGACAGAUGGGAGCUUGCUCCCUGAUGUUAGCGGCGGACGGGUGAGUAACACGUGGGUAACCUGCCUGUAAGACUGGGAUAACUCCGGGAAACCGGGGCUAAUACCGGAUGCUUGAUUGAACCGCAUGGUUCAAUUAUAAAAGGUGGCUUUUAGCUACCACUUACAGAUGGACCCGCGGCGCAUUAGCUAGUUGGUGAGGUAACGGCUCACCAAGGCGACGAUGCGUAGCCGACCUGAGAGGGUGAUCGGCCACACUGGGACUGAGACACGGCCCAGACUCCUACGGGAGGCAGCAGUAGGGAAUCUUCCGCAAUGGACGAAAGUCUGACGGAGCAACGCCGCGUGAGUGAUGAAGGUUUUCGGAUCGUAAAACUCUGUUGUUAGGGAAGAACAAGUACCGUUCGAAUAGGGCGGUACCUUGACGGUACCUAACCAGAAAGCCACGGCUAACUACGUGCCAGCAGCCGCGGUAAUACGUAGGUGGCAAGCGUUGUCCGGAAUUAUUGGGCGUAAAGCGCGCGCAGGCGGUUUCUUAAGUCUGAUGUGAAAGCCCCCGGCUCAACCGGGGAGGGUCAUUGGAAACUGGGGAACUUGAGUGCAGAAGAGGAGAGUGGAAUUCCACGUGUAGCGGUGAAAUGCGUAGAGAUGUGGAGGAACACCAGUGGCGAAGGCGACUCUCUGGUCUGUAACUGACGCUGAGGCGCGAAAGCGUGGGGAGCGAACAGGAUUAGAUACCCUGGUAGUCCACGCCGUAAACGAUGAGUGCUAAGUGUUAGAGGGUUUCCGCCCUUUAGUGCUGCAGCAAACGCAUUAAGCACUCCGCCUGGGGAGUACGGUCGCAAGACUGAAACUCAAAGGAAUUGACGGGGGCCCGCACAAGCGGUGGAGCAUGUGGUUUAAUUCGAAGCAACGCGAAGAACCUUACCAGGGUCUUGACAUCCUCUGACAACCCUAGAGAUAGGGCUUCUCCUUCGGGGGCAGAGUGACAGGUGGUGCAUGGUUGUCGUCAGCUCGUGUCGUGAGAUUGUGGGGUUAAGUCCCGCAACGAGCGCAACCCUUGAUCUUAGUGCCAGCAUCAGUUGGGCACUCUAAGGUGACUGCCGGUGAAAAA